GAUUGAUUGUAGGAAAGGGAGGAUCUGUUGUGCACCUCUAUCACGAUCAUCCCGUAAGAAGUCCCAUGAAAUUUAUCAUUAUCAUGAAAGACAGUAUCUUUUUUCAAUGGGUCUGUAGAAAGAUAAACAAAAAAAUGAAAGAUUCUGAUGCAGGAAAAUACAACUCGAGAAGACCCCAAGAUAGCCCUCAGAGAUACAUUCACACAAAAUCUGAAGAGAAGUUUCAUCUCCUCGACAUCAUCUACAAUUGGGAACUAUCAGCAAUUCCGAUUAGAAGGCAUCUUCACUUAAUUGUAGGAUUGUAAGAAAGGGAGGG
Molecule: long non-coding RNA, 316 nt
Filed under: Androctonus crassicauda
Lineage: Eukaryota; Metazoa; Arthropoda; Arachnida; Scorpiones; Buthidae
Source: RNAcentral